AAGUUUUCGGACGGACGCGGAUAUAACUUAGUGGCGAACGGGUGAGUAACACGUGAGCAACCUACCCUUCAGAGGGGGACAACAGUUGGAAACGACUGCUAAUACCGCAUAAGACCACGGUGUGGCAUCACACAGAGGUCAAAGGAGAAAUCCGCUGAAGGAUGGGCUCGCGUCCAAUUAGCUAGAUGGUGAGGUAACGGCCCACCAUGGCGACGAUUGGUAGCCGGACUGAGAGGUUGAUCGGCCACAUUGGGACUGAGACACGGCCCAGACUCC
Molecule: ribosomal RNA, 276 nt
Filed under: uncultured bacterium
Lineage: Bacteria
Description: partial 16S ribosomal RNA
Rfam family: Bacterial small subunit ribosomal RNA
Source: RNAcentral